RNAcentral lists this ribosomal RNA (820 nucleotides) under uncultured marine bacterium. RNAcentral's name for it is "bacterial SSU rRNA". It matches the Rfam family "Bacterial small subunit ribosomal RNA", at positions 28 to 896 of the family's 1533-position model. The record is from RNAcentral.
AACGUACGCUGGCGGCACGCCUAACACAUGCAAGUCGAACGAAGUAGCAAUACUUAGUGGCAGACGGGUGAGUAACAUGUAGGUAUCUACCCUUUGGCCUGGAAUAACACGAGGAAACUUGUGCUAAUACCAGAUAAGUCUUUACGGAGAAAGCUUUAUGCACCAUUGGAUGAGCCUGCACUUGAUUAGUUUGUUGGUGGGGUAAUGGCCUACCAAGACUGUGAUCAAUAGCUGAUUUGAGAGGAUGAUCAGCCACAUUGGGACUGAGACACGGCCCAAACUCCUACGGGAGGCAGCAGUGGGGAAUCUUGCACAAUGGAGGAAACUCUGAUGCAGCGAUGCCGCGUGAGUGAAGAAGGCCCUUGGGUUGUAAAGCUCUUUCGUCGGGGAAGAAAAUGACUGUACCCGAAUAAGAAGGUCCGGCUAACUUCGUGCCAGCAGCCGCGGUAAUACGAAGGGACCUAGCGUAGUUCGGAAUUACUGGGCUUAAAGAGUUCGUAGGUGGUUGAAAAAGUUAGUGGUGAAAUCCCAGAGCUUAACUCUGGAACUGCCAUUAAAACUUUUCAGCUAGAGUAUGAUAGAGGAAAGCAGAAUUUCUAGUGUAGAGGUGAAAUUCGUAGAUAUUAGAAAGAAUACCAAUUGCGAAGGCAGCUUUCUGGAUCAUUACUGACACUGAGGAACGAAAGCAUGGGUAGCGAAGAGGAUUAGAUACCCUCGUAGUCCAUGCCGUAAACGAUGUGUGUUAGACGUUGGAAAUUUAUUUUCAGUGUCGCAGCGAAAGCGAUAAACACACCGCCUGGGGAGUACGACCGCAAGGUUA